CCUACGGGGAGCUGCAGUGAGGAAUAUUGGUCAAUGGGCGGAAGCCUGAACCAGCCAAGUCGCGUGAGGGAAUAAGGCCCUACGGGUCGUAAACCUCUUUUGCCGGGGAGCAAGGGCGGGGCCGUGUCCCGGCCCGGAGAGUACCCGGUGAAAAAGCAUCGGCUAACUACGUGCCAGCAGCCGCGGUAGUACGGAGAAUGCGAGCGUUAUCCGGAUUGAUUGGGUUUAAAGGGUGCGUAGGCGGGCUUUUACGUCAGCGGUAAAAAGUCGGGGCUCAACCCCGUCCGGCCGUUGAAACUGGGGGCCUUGAGUGGGCGAGAAGAAGGCGGAAUGCGUGGUGUAGCGGUGAAAUGCAGAGAUAUCACGCAGAACCCCGAUUGCGAAGGCAGCCGUCCGGCGCCCUACUGACGCUGAGGCACGAAAGUGCGGGGAUCGAACAGGAUUAGAUACCCUGGUAGUC
This 460-nucleotide ribosomal RNA is filed under the name uncultured bacterium. RNAcentral describes it as "partial 16S ribosomal RNA". It matches the Rfam family "Bacterial small subunit ribosomal RNA", at positions 338 to 795 of the family's 1533-position model. The record is from RNAcentral.